Mobula hypostoma (lesser devil ray) is the source of this 1100-nucleotide long non-coding RNA. RefSeq lists it as uncharacterized. NCBI's taxonomy places the organism in Eukaryota, Metazoa, Chordata, Chondrichthyes, Myliobatiformes, Myliobatidae. The record is from RefSeq and is a predicted model, not a curated record. The transcript has 3 exons.
CGGAGACAGGCUCGGCCCGAUCAACAUCAAUGGGUCUGCAACUGAGAGGAUGAGGUUCUGCUACUGUUGGAGUCUGUUAUGUACAUUCUGGCGCUGUGUUUUUGGGUCCAUUGGGCAAACUGGUGCUUUGCUGGCUCCAAGAAGGCACCAAGAGGCAUGGACACCAGGAAGCCUGGAGACGGGGUGCGAGCCCAUGAUCGACUCCAUCCCUCAAGUAACACAUCGAAGCUGCACCCUCUCUAACAUGCUGGUAGACAGAGUUUUAUUUGGGUUUUCUUUAGCGCUGGAAAUGGUUACAUCCCGACACGUGGGACAGAAGCAAGCUCGCAUUGUGUAUUCCAGGGACCAGCAAAUACCAGCCGGUUUAGCGAGCAGAGCGGCGGACACCCCUGCUGAAAUCCGGAGGAAAACACACAGAGGAUGCAGAGGGGGAUCACAAAGCUGAGGAAAGAGAACCGGGUCGAGACAACAGAGACUUUUGGAGAAGAGGAGUUCGGUGGGUAAUACUGUUCCGGCUGACCGGAAGUACUCUGAGAGCGGUAAGCGUAAAGGAAUUGGGUGCUUACUGUUCUGGCUAACAACAGAUGGUGCAAUCCGGGGUAUAUUACUAUCGAGGAACAUGUUUGUAGACUGGAUAUUGAACUUUUUACUGUUGGACUUCGGCCACAUUCCACCGUGAUACAACACUUGGCGGCACGAGAGGUCGUUCCUGUCUGUGGCCAUCAAACGUGCAGCUCCUCCCGUGGAGAGUUAGACACCCUGAGCCAAUAGACUGGUCCUGGACUUAUUUUCCAUCUGGCAUAGUUUAUAUUUUGUUGUUUCAUUGUUGGGGGUUUUUGUAUUGCUAUAUUUACGCUCUAUUCUUGGUUGGGUGCGACUGUAACAAAAACAAAUUUCCCUCGGGAUUAAUAAAGUAUAUAUAUCUAUCUAUCUAUAUCAUCAUUCGAGAAACAGGUUCCCCACUGGUAUGCCAUUUAAAAAAAAGUACCUAGUGGCUUCAUCAUAAUUUCCACAGCAACAGUCUUCAGCAUUGCAGCCUUAAUAUAUCCAGGCAAUAUGUCAAAAAUAAAAUACUGGAAUGGAUGCUUUACAAAUACCAU